RNAcentral lists this ribosomal RNA (253 nucleotides) under uncultured bacterium. RNAcentral's name for it is "partial 16S ribosomal RNA". It matches the Rfam family "Bacterial small subunit ribosomal RNA", at positions 524 to 776 of the family's 1533-position model. The record is from RNAcentral.
UACGUAGGGGGCGAGCGUUGUCCGGAUUCAUUGGGCGUAAAGGGUGCGUAGGUGGCGCGCUAAGUCAGGUGUGAAAUUUCGGAGCUUAACUCCGAAACUGCAUUUGAUACUGGCGUGCUUGAGGACUGGAGAGGAGACUGGAAUUCAUGGUGUAGCAGUGAAAUGCGUAGAGAUCAUGAGGAAGACCAGUGGCGAAGGCGGGUCUCUGGACAGUUCCUGACACUGAGGCACGAAGGCCAGGGGAGCAAACGGG